This 1245-nucleotide long non-coding RNA is filed under the name Sarcophilus harrisii (Tasmanian devil). RNAcentral's name for it is "lncRNA (ENSSHAG00000026024.1)". Lineage: Eukaryota; Metazoa; Chordata; Mammalia; Dasyuromorphia; Dasyuridae. The record is from RNAcentral.
AUGGGGGACAAAGGGAAGCCAAAGCAGGUGGGGGCUGCUGAGCAAGGGGGGAGGGGUUGGAAGGGGAGGCUGGGGGCGCCCCAAGCUGGGGGCUUGGAUGGGGGAGGGGCGGUGUGCAGGGAUGGGUUAGGAGGAGAGGACCCAAAGGGCUGUGGUCUUCCUCCUUGGGGGAGCAGUGCCACCAGGCCGAGGGGGUCUCACAGACGGAGGGGGGGAGGGUCAGAGAGAACAAGAAGAGACGGAGGGUCAGCACUCGGGAGCCGGUGGGGCGGGGCCCAAGGAGGGCAGGCCCCGCUGGGCCGUACAGGUGGGAGGAGAAGGGCCGGGCCGGAGCAGGGCAGGCCGAUGCCGGGGGCCGCGCUGGGCCGUACAGGUGGGAGCGGCAGGGGCGGGCUCGGCGCCCAGGGGCCCGCUGGGGCCGAGAGGGGGUGGGCUCGGUGCCCAGGGGCCGCUGGGCGGUACAGAAGGGAGGGAUGGGGUGGGGGUGGCUCGGCGCUCAGGGCCCCUCCCCGCCUCCUCACCAGCUGCGCUCGGCGCUCAGGGCCCCGCGGGGCAGGGCUCGGGAUCGGGGCCGGGGCCGGGCCGGGCCGCGGCCGCUCCAUCCCCCAUGGCCCCGGAGCCCGCUUAGCGCCUCCCCGGAGGCCCGAUGCCGAGUCCGCUCUCGCUCCCGCCUCCUCCUCCGCCUCCUCCGCCGCGGGGCAUGGUGCGGCCCGCCCGGGGCCGCCGGAGCCGGAGCCGGAGCCGCCGAGACCGAGCCUCGCAGGGGAAGCAGGGAGCGGCGGCGCGCGCCCCCGCGUCCGCGCCCCCGCGCGCGCUCCGCCCUGCCCCGCCCCGCCCGUCCGCGCGCCCCGGAGCUCCAGGCCGCAGGCGCAGAAGCGGCGGAGGGAGGGGCCUGAAGAAGGGGGUGGGGCCUGGACAGAAAAAAAGACUCAGGCUGGAAUUACCCCCAGAAGCCUCGGGGGCGAGCCCAAGAAACCCACAGGUGGCGGCAAGCUGAUAAAACCCCGACAAGCAACUGGGGGAGGGCGGGGCCUGCGAAAUAGGGGCGGGCCCGUUCAUACAAAAUCUAUAGUGGACUCCCCGGGGGCGGGGCCUGGGUGGAGGGGAAGGGCCAUUCAUAAAAAAUCUACAGCGGACGGUCCCGGGGGUGGGGCCUCGAGAAGAGGGGCGGGCCCAUGCAAAAUCCACCGAGAGCUGCCUCGGGGGCGGGGCCGGACAGCACCUGGAGAAGCCAGAGGGAGCUAG